AGAGAGAGAGAGAGAGAGAGAGUGCAUUGAAGGCUUGGCAUGAGCAACUGUGGUUUCGAGAAUAUAAGCCUUUUACUAUUAGUCUUGACAAUGCGCUUCUCUCUAAAUUUAAGAACUUCAGUAUGCUUUUCUUCUAAGGAAUAAGUUGGUUUGUAUUUGAGACUCAUUUUUCUGAUACACGGGUAUCAAGUGUUUUCCAUAUUCAUCUACAUGAAAAGGUGAAAUAAGAUCAAGUAUUGAUUUUCUGUUGUUUGCAGCUGUUGGUAUUUCCUCACUUGGCAUUAGUUCAUAUCUUAAGAAAUGUGAUUCUUUCUAUAGGUCGUUCAAAUGCCAUCAACAUAUCUGAAAAGUUGGGACUGCCGGGCAUAGUUAUUAGUAAUGCCCGAGAAUUAUAUGGUGCUGCUAGUGCAGAGAUUAAUGAGGUAACAAGCACAAUUUAAAAAAAAAAAGUUUGUUUUUAACUAAGAUUGAAAUUGGUUUCCAGCCCACAGUAUUCAUUUGAAAUUGGUUUGUUUCUACCUCGCCUUUAGAAAUAUCUACUGCAAUUUUCCAUUUGACUGCAUGAAUAUGCAAUGGAAACCCUAUGCAUUUUUUGACCGAUAGUUAUUGAAUUUAAGCCAAUUCCAACAAGAUUGGGAUCAAGAUAGUUUUGGUCUGUAUGCUGCUUAGUUGUGAGUUUCAGCAGAAGUUUGUUGUUUUAACUGUGUUAUUGUGUAAUAUAGGUAGAGGUCACACUAGUUUUUCAAAGAAGAAAAUCGUAAGCAUGUGAGAAGAUUGUAUAUAUAUAUAUAUUUUUGUUGGAGUUUUAUCAUUUUCAACCCAUCAGUUUACUGGAUGAUAGAUUCAUUGUUCUCUUCAACUGUCAACUAUAAUCCUUGCAAUAUCUUACAGGUCAUAAUUGAUAUGGAAAGAUUCAAGCAAGAUUUUCAAGAGCUUUUAGAUGAGGCACAACUUCAUCUGAUGUGAGAAUCUAUGGCUUAAAGUCUUUGGAAAAUUGUUCUUGUAAGGUCAAUCAGGGUUAAUUUGGAGAAAAAAAAAAAAUUUAUAAUAGUAAUGGCCAAUAUCUGUGUACUCUGCCUGUCAAUGUGCCUAUACAGGCCUAAGCUGUUUGUCAUUUUUUUAAAUAAAAAUUUUAAAUUAGUGUAUUUCUAUAAAAUUUUCAUUUCACAAUAUGGCAUUUCACUGUAGUAGGAAAUUAACCUCAUGUAUGCACGCAUGCUUACAUCCAUUCGGUACAUACUCAAGUUUUUAUCCUGUGGAAGGAUCUAUAUGUUUUGGUAGCAACAACUACGAAGUCUUUUUCUGAGCAGUAUGUCUCAGUAUGGUCAUAAUGAACUAAUAUGUAAUCUCUGCUAUUUUAAUAGACACAAUAAUCACGUUUUUUAAUUCAAUUUAACAGGGCUCAAGAGCCAUGGUUUAUAUUUUAAGUUAUUCUCCACCAUGGUAUACUUGUUUUUAUUGAUAAAGAUUAGUCUUCAAAUUUCAAAAUCAUCUUUAUGAGUUCAUUUUCUUUUUCCCUUAAAAGAAGAUGAACUAACUUUUUCUUCGUGGCAAGUGAUGCAAGUCCAACAUUUUUUUUUUGGUAAACAUUUAUUAUAUAACAUUGAUUCUCACUGUUUAAAUGUUGCUUAGUAAAGAUGAAUCUGUAUGCUUGUGGAUGCUAAUCUAAUAUUCUAAUAUCUGUCUUUUUACCGCAGGCUCUCAAGAAAUCUUCAUGAAAAACUAUUGCUGGCCGGAAGGAAGAUUGUGGAGCAUGGUUCUGGUCAAAGACACUGGAAGAUGCAAGAAAUCUCCAAGGCUGCUGCUGUGGCACGCUCUACCCUUCACAAGAAAGUGCGGCACCUUCGUGCAUACUUAGCAAAACCUUCUGAGCCCCCUACAGCCAAUAAAAGAAAACUUUUGACAAGUGACCAAUGUCCUACAGUUGAUAAUAGUGGAAAUACCACAGCAAGUAGAAGUUCAUCUGCAGUUGAAAUUAGAACACAAUCACCAUCAGUAAGGACUGAGCUUCCUCAGGUUGGUGAUACAGUGUAUGUUUCAUCCCUAGGAAGAAAAGCAACAGUUUUGAGAGUGGAUCAAUCUAAAGAAGAAAUAGUAGUUCAAGCUGGCAACAUGAAGUUGAAAUUGAAAUUAAUGGAUAUUGGGACUUGAAUGGUAAGAAAUAAGCUGACAUGUCUGUCUGCCUAGUUAAGUUGGUCCAUAACUAUGUUACUUGAUUCAGAGAUGAAUAUAUGAUAUGGGCAUGUGUCCAGGAGUCAGAGUUGGCUGCUUUCUGAAAUCUUCAUAGAUUAGUUCAGUGAAUGUUUACAUCUUUACAUUGGUGUAUAAGUAGUAGCUUAUGAAUACCGGUAUGGAUGUUGCUCCAGCUUUUUUUUUCCAAGUACUUAAAAUGUUGUUUGUAUGUUUGUGUGCUUGUAUAUUGCUGUUUUUUCUUUUUGUAGACUUGUAUGCCAAACCCUGGGAAGAAGGGAUUUUGUUGAACAACAUUGCAACAUCAUCUUUAGGCAAAAGGAAGAAAGGAAUGACUGCUGUAUACAGGGCUGCAAACAAUUGAAAAUUGACAUUUAAAAGAUGGAGGGAAACGAAGAUUUGCAAAAUUACUUCCGAGAAUGUGGCACCAGAGAGUGUGGACAACAUCAGUGAAAUUACCUUCCUGCAUGUAUAGUCUGAAAGACUCGAGUUGUUCACGUCGAAGAUCCUGAAGGAGACCUAAUGAUGCUAGGUGUUCUUUCAGUACAAUUUGUUUAAAGAUGAGUAAAAUGACUUGCUAGUUGCAAAGUGUUAUCAGAAAUAUAAAACGGUUGCUUGUUUAUUCAAUUUGCUGUUUUCCAAUUUGUUUUUGUGUUUUUUUGCUGUUUUCUUAGGUUAUGACCAUAUAUUUUCUUCUGGUUCAUUUUGAGUUUCACCCCUUGUAGGGUAAAUUCCUUGCAUGAGUAAGUGUUACUUGAUA
Molecule: unclassified non-coding RNA, 2950 nt
Filed under: Hevea brasiliensis (rubber tree)
Lineage: Eukaryota; Viridiplantae; Streptophyta; Magnoliopsida; Malpighiales; Euphorbiaceae
Source: RNAcentral